AGCAGAAAUGCCCCAGCUCCCAGUGGUAAUAGACAGGCGCUGGGGAAUUUCUGCCAC
MicroRNA precursor from Monodelphis domestica (gray short-tailed opossum), 57 nucleotides. The record is from Ensembl. Lineage: Eukaryota; Metazoa; Chordata; Mammalia; Didelphimorphia; Didelphidae.